AGCAUUGUACUUUAAACAAAAGGUUUGAGUUGCAGUCAAAAAUUGAGCAAAUGCUUCUAUGCUA
This 64-nucleotide transfer RNA is filed under the name Xenostrobus securis. RNAcentral's name for it is "tRNA-Ala". The record is from RNAcentral. Lineage: Eukaryota; Metazoa; Mollusca; Bivalvia; Mytilida; Modiolidae.